This 74-nucleotide transfer RNA is filed under the name Marmota monax (woodchuck). RNAcentral describes it as "tRNA.Ala". The record is from RNAcentral. Lineage: Eukaryota; Metazoa; Chordata; Mammalia; Rodentia; Sciuridae.
CUGGGAGUAUAGCUCAGUGGUAGAGCAUGUGCUUAGCAUGUGUGAGGUCCUGGGUUCAGCCCCCAGCACCAAGG